This 796-nucleotide ribosomal RNA is filed under the name uncultured bacterium. RNAcentral's name for it is "bacterial SSU rRNA". It matches the Rfam family "Bacterial small subunit ribosomal RNA", at positions 8 to 791 of the family's 1533-position model. The record is from RNAcentral.
AGAGUUUGAUCAUGGCUCAGAUUGAACGCUGGCGGCAGGCUUAACACAUGCAAGUCGAACGGUAACAGGAAGAAAGCUUGCUUUCUUUGCUGACGAGUGGCGGACGGGUGAGUAAUGCUUGGGAAUCUGGCUUAUGGAGGGGGAUAACUACGGGAAACUGUAGCUAAUACCGCGUAGUAUCGAGAGAUGAAAGUGUGGGACCGCAAGGCCACAUGCCAUAAGAUGAGCCCAAGUGGGAUUAGGUAGUUGGUUAGGUAAAGGCUGACCAAGCCGACGACCUCUAGCUGGUCUGAGAGGAUGACCAGCCACACUGGAACUGAGACACGGUCCAGACUCCUACGGGAGGCAGCAGUGGGGAAUAUUGCACAAUGGGGGGAACCCUAAUGCAGCCAUGCCGCGUGAAUGAAGAAGGCCUUCGGGUUGUAAAGUUCUUUCGGUGAUGAGGAAGGUGUUUGUUUUAAUAGAACAAGCAAUUGACGUUAGUCACAGAAGAAGCACCGGCUAACUCCGUGCCAGCAGCCGCGGUAAUACGGAGGGUGCGAGCGUUAAUCGGAAUAACUGGGCGUAAAGGGCACGCAGGCGGUGACUUAAGUGAGAUGUGAAAGCCCCGAGCUUAACUUGGGAAUUGCAUUUCAUACUGGGUCGCUAGAGUACUUUAGGGAGGGGUAGAAUUCCACGUGUAGCGGUGAAAUGCGUAGAGAUGUGGAGGAAUACCGAAGGCGAAGGCAGCCCCUUGGGAAUGUACUGACGCUCAUGUGCGAAAGCGUGGGGAGCAAACAGGAUUAGAUACCCUGGU